UCUGGGGAAUAAUAUAUUGUUUAGCACUUGGACGAAAGCCAAUCUAGUCAAUCAGAUUGUGAGGAAUCCAAAAGGCUGAAUGGAAAUUCAUACAACGCAGUGCUCUUCAAUCUCCAAUUCCGAUACUUGAUUUUUCUGAAAUCCAAAAGCCUGAAAUCUAGUAUAGGUCAAAUGAAGAUUAAAUUUCCUGUUAUAGAACCCAUGAAAGAGUGGUAUAAACAAUAAGCAAUCCAAUACAGCACACAAGCCACUUCACCUCAACAGGUUCUGCCAAAAGAGAAUUUUCCAAUCCUGCUUUUCCCAGAACAAAGAUGUUUGAGCACUAGAAUACACUGAUUGAGGCAUUCAAGAGCUGCCCCUUUUUUUCUCUCUGUCUCUGAUGGCCGACUACUCUAGUAGUAGUUGGUUUCAAGCAUUGUUUUAUUCAAGUCUCAUUUAUCUCUUUUCAUAACCAUGAUCUGCUUCAAAACUUCAAGAGAUCUUCUAAGUACUGUGAUUGUUUGGGGGGGAGGGUUUGAUUGGAUGAUAAGGUGAGAGGUGUUAUAAGUAAGAGCUCUUGGAUUCACGUCCUCUCACUUACCCCCAAAAAAAAAAAAAAAAGACAGAGAGAGAGAGAGAGAGAUAAAAUAU
Molecule: long non-coding RNA, 630 nt
Filed under: Coffea arabica (coffee)
Lineage: Eukaryota; Viridiplantae; Streptophyta; Magnoliopsida; Gentianales; Rubiaceae
Description: long non-coding RNA (CARA_LNC006380)
Source: RNAcentral